CCUACGGGAGUCUGCAGUGAGGAAUAUUGGUCAAUGGACGAGAGUCUGAACCAGCCAAGUAGCGUGAAGGAUGACUGCCCUAUGGGUUGUAAACUUCUUUUAUAUGGGAAUAAAAUGUUCCACGUUUGGGAUUUUGUAUGUACCAUAUGAAUAAGGAUCGGCUAACUCCGUGCCAGCAGCCGCGGUAAUACGGAGGAUCCGAGCGUUAUCCGGAUUUAUUGGGUUUAAAGGGAGCGUAGGUGGAUUGUUAAGUCAGUUGUGAAAGUUUGCGGCUCAACCGUAAAAUUGCAGUUGAAACUGGCAGUCUUGAGUACAGUAGAGGUGGGCGGAAUUCGUGGUGUAGCGGUGAAAUGCUUAGAUAUCACGAAGAACUCCGAUUGCGAAGGCAGUUCACUGGACUGCAACUGACACUGAGGCUCGAAAGUGUGGGUAUCAAACAGGAUUAGAUACCCUUGUAGUC
Molecule: ribosomal RNA, 460 nt
Filed under: uncultured bacterium
Lineage: Bacteria
Description: partial 16S ribosomal RNA
Rfam family: Bacterial small subunit ribosomal RNA
Source: RNAcentral